UAUGUGAUCGUCUCUCGCAUAUCAAUAAGCGGAGGAAAAGAAACUAACAAGGAUUCCCCUAGUAACGGCGAGUGAAGCGGGAAGAGCUCAAAUUUGAAAUCUUAAAGGGUUUCCCUUUACGAAUUGUAGUUUAAAGAAGUGUUUUCUGUUGAGGUUUUGGUAAAAGUUCUUUGGAAUAGGACAUCAUAGAGGGUGAGAAUCCCGUAUUUGACCUUUACUUUCAACUUUGUGAUAGCACUUUCAAAGAGUCGGAUUGUUUGGGAAUGCAGUCCAAAAUGGGUGGUAAAUUUCAUCUAAAGCUAAAUAUUGGCGAGAGACCGAUAGCGAACAAGUACCGUGAGGGAAAGAUGAAAAGAACUUUGAAAAGAGAGUUAAACAGUACGUGAAAUUGUCAAAAGGGAAGCGUUUGACACCAGUGUUGUUUUUCUGAAAAUCAAUUAAAGAACUGUUUAUGCUAAGUUGUUUAGACUUUAUCAGCUAACUGUUUAGUUUUGAGCUUUUCUUUAAUGCACUUUUCAGUUAACAAGUCAACAUCAAUUUCUUUUGCUGUAAAAAAGCUUGAGGAAGGUGGCUUGAGAUUCGUCUUAAGUGUUUAUAGCCUCUUGCCUAUGCAGUCGGAGAGAUUGAGGUCUGCAGCGUAGAUCCUUCGGGGCUAAAUGCAUUUGUGCUAAGUUAUAGCAUUUUAUAGACAACUUGUUGACUAUGAUUUGUCUUGUAGCUUACUCGCUUAUGUUAUUUUACCUACGCUUAGGAUGUUGAUCUACAGAGCGAGAG
This 774-nucleotide ribosomal RNA is filed under the name uncultured Neocallimastigales. RNAcentral describes it as "partial large subunit ribosomal RNA". It matches the Rfam family "Eukaryotic large subunit ribosomal RNA", at positions 24 to 630 of the family's 3401-position model. Lineage: Eukaryota; Fungi; Neocallimastigomycota; Neocallimastigomycetes; Neocallimastigales. The record is from RNAcentral.